UUAAGCGACUAAGCGUACACGGUGGAUGCCCUGGCAGUCAGAGGCGAUGAAGGACGUGCUAAUCUGCGAUAAGCGUCGGUAAGGUGAUAUGAACCGUUAUAACCGGCGAUUUCCGAAUGGGGAAACCCAGUGUGUUUCGACACACUAUCAUUAACUGAAUCCAUAGGUUAAUGAGGCGAACCGGGGGAACUGAAACAUCUAAGUACCCCGAGGAAAAGAAAUCAACCGAGAUUCCCCCAGUAGCGGCGAGCGAACGGGGAGCAGCCCAGAGCCUGAAUCAGUGUGUGUGUUAGUGGAAGCGUCUGGAAAGGCGCGCGAUACAGGGUGACAGCCCCGUACACAAAAAUGCACAUGCUGUGAGCUCGAUGAGUAGGGCGGGACACGUGGUAUCCUGUCUGAAUGUGGGGGGACCAUCCUCCAAGGCUAAAUACUCCUGACUGACCGAUAGUGAACCAGUACCGUGAGGGAAAGGCGAAAAGAACCCCGGCGAGGGGAGUGAAAAAGAACCUGAAACCGUGUACGUACAAGCAGUGGGAGCACGCUUAGGCGUGUGACUGCGUACCUUUUGUAUAAUGGGUCAGCGACUUAUAUUCUGUAGCAAGGUUAACCGAAUAGGGGAGCCGAAGGGAAACCGAGUCUUAACUGGGCGUUAAGUUGCAGGGUAUAGACCCGAAACCCGGUGAUCUAGCCAUGGGCAGGUUGAAGGUUGGGUAACACUAACUGGAGGACCGAACCGACUAAUGUUGAAAAAUUAGCGGAUGACUUGUGGCUGGGGGUGAAAGGCCAAUCAAACCGGGAGAUAGCUGGUUCUCCCCGAAAGCUAUUUAGGUAGCGCCUCGUGAAUUCAUCUCCGGGGGUAGAGCACUGUUUCGGCAAGGGGGUCAUCCCGACUUACCAACCCGAUGCAAACUGCGAAUACCGGAGAAUGUUAUCACGGGAGACACACGGCGGGUGCUAACGUCCGUCGUGAAGAGGGAAACAACCCAGACCGCCAGCUAAGGUCCCAAAGUCAUGGUUAAGUGGGAAACGAUGUGGGAAGGCCCAGACAGCCAGGAUGUUGGCUUAGAAGCAGUCAUCAUUUAAAGAAAGCGUAAUAGCUCACUGGUCGAGUCGGCCUGCGCGGAAGAUGUAACGGGGCUAAACCAUGCACCGAAGCUGCGGCAGCGACGCUUAUGCGUUGUUGGGUAGGGGAGCGUUCUGUAAGCCUGUGAAGGUGUACUGUGAGGUAUGCUGGAGGUAUCAGAAGUGCGAAUGCUGACAUAAGUAACGAUAAAGCGGGUGAAAAGCCCGCUCGCCGGAAGACCAAGGGUUCCUGUCCAACGUUAAUCGGGGCAGGGUGAGUCGACCCCUAAGGCGAGGCCGAAAGGCGUAGUCGAUGGGAAACAGGUUAAUAUUCCUGUACUUGGUGUUACUGCGAAGGGGGGACGGAGAAGGCUAUGUUGGCCGGGCGACGGUUGUCCCGGUUUAAGCGUGUAGGCUGGUUUUCCAGGCAAAUCCGGAAAAUCAAGGCUGAGGCGUGAUGACGAGGCACUACGGUGCUGAAGCAACAAAUGCCCUGCUUCCAGGAAAAGCCUCUAAGCAUCAGGUAACAUCAAAUCGUACCCCAAACCGACACAGGUGGUCAGGUAGAGAAUACCAAGGCGCUUGAGAGAACUCGGGUGAAGGAACUAGGCAAAAUGGUGCCGUAACUUCGGGAGAAGGCACGCUGAUAUGUAGGUGAAGUCCCUCGCGGAUGGAGCUGAAAUCAGUCGAAGAUACCAGCUGGCUGCAACUGUUUAUUAAAAACACAGCACUGUGCAAACACGAAAGUGGACGUAUACGGUGUGACGCCUGCCCGGUGCCGGAAGGUUAAUUGAUGGGGUCAGCGCAAGCGAAGCUCUUGAUCGAAGCCCCGGUAAACGGCGGCCGUAACUAUAACGGUCCUAAGGUAGCGAAAUUCCUUGUCGGGUAAGUUCCGACCUGCACGAAUGGCGUAAUGAUGGCCAGGCUGUCUCCACCCGAGACUCAGUGAAAUUGAACUCGCUGUGAAGAUGCAGUGUACCCGCGGCAAGACGGAAAGACCCCGUGAACCUUUACUAUAGCUUGACACUGAACAUUGAGCCUUGAUGUGUAGGAUAGGUGGGAGGCUUGGAAGUGUGGACGCCAGUCUGCAUGGAGCCGACCUUGAAAUACCACCCUUUAAUGUUUGAUGUUCUAACGUUGACCCGUAAUCCGGGUUGCGGACAGUGUCUGGUGGGUAGUUUGACUGGGGCGGUCUCCUCCUAAAGAGUAACGGAGGAGCACGAAGGUUGGCUAAUCCUGGUCGGACAUCAGGAGGUUAGUGCAAUGGCAUAAGCCAGCUUGACUGCGAGCGUGACGGCGCGAGCAGGUGCGAAAGCAGGUCAUAGUGAUCCGGUGGUUCUGAAUGGAAGGGCCAUCGCUCAACGGAUAAAAGGUACUCCGGGGAUAACAGGCUGAUACCGCCCAAGAGUUCAUAUCGACGGCGGUGUUUGGCACCUCGAUGUCGGCUCAUCACAUCCUGGGGCUGAAGUAGGUCCCAAGGGUAUGGCUGUUCGCCAUUUAAAGUGGUACGCGAGCUGGGUUUAGAACGUCGUGAGACAGUUCGGUCCCUAUCUGCCGUGGGCGCUGGAGAACUGAGGGGGGCUGCUCCUAGUACGAGAGGACCGGAGUGGACGCAUCACUGGUGUUCGGGUUGUCAUGCCAAUGGCACUGCCCGGUAGCUAAAUGCGGAAGAGAUAAGUGCUGAAAGCAUCUAAGCACGAAACUUGCCCCGAGAUGAGUUUUCCCUGACCCUUUAAGGGUCCUGAAGGAACGUUGAAGACGACGACGUUGAUAGGCCGGGUGUGUAAGCGCAGCGAUGCGUUGAGCUAACCGGUACUAAUGAACCGUGAGGCUUAACCUU
Molecule: ribosomal RNA, 2902 nt
Filed under: Escherichia coli O25:NM
Lineage: Bacteria; Pseudomonadati; Pseudomonadota; Gammaproteobacteria; Enterobacterales; Enterobacteriaceae
Description: bacterial LSU rRNA
Rfam family: Bacterial large subunit ribosomal RNA
Source: RNAcentral